Molecule: small RNA, 1766 nt
Filed under: Pongo abelii (Sumatran orangutan)
Lineage: Eukaryota; Metazoa; Chordata; Mammalia; Primates; Hominidae
Description: retained intron
Source: RNAcentral
GUUAAGCUGAGGUCGUCUGAGCCCUGCGACAGCCUGGACAGCAACUCAGGAUGGCAUCAGGCAGGGCACGCUGCACCCGAAAACUCCGGAACUGGGUGGUGGAGCAAGUGGAGAGUGGGCAGUUCCCCGGAGUGUGCUGGGAUGAUACAGCUAAGACCAUGUUCCGGAUUCCCUGGAAGCAUGCAGGCAAGCAGGACUUCCGGGAGGACCAGGAUGCUGCCUUCUUCAAGGCCUGGGCAAUAUUUAAGGGAAAGUAUAAGGAGGGGGACACAGGAGGUCCGGCUGUCUGGAAGACUCGCCUGCGCUGUGCACUCAACAAGAGUUCUGAAUUUAAGGAGGUUCCUGAGAGGGGCCGCAUGGAUGUUGCUGAGCCCUACAAGGUGUAUCGGUUGCUGCCACCAGAAACCGUCUCUGGCCAUCCAGGGACUCAGAAACCACCAUCAAAGCGACAGCACAGUUCUGUGUCCUCUGAGAGGAAGGAGGAAGAGGGUGCCAUGCAGAACUGCACACUCAGUCCCUCUGUGCUCCAGGACUCCCUCAAUAAUGAGGAGGAGGGGGCCAGUGGGGGAGCAGUCCAUUCAGACAUCGGGAGCAGCAGCAGCAGCAGCCCUGAGCCACAGGAAGUUACAGACACAACUGAGGCCCCCUUUCAAGGGGAUCAGAGGUCCCUGGAGUUUCUGCUUCCUCCAGAGCCAGGUACGUGGCAUUUCUGACUUUCUCCUGUGCCCUGUGCCCCUGAGGUCUUCCACCUUUGACUAUGCAUGCAUUAUCUAGUCAGUCAGGGCUUACAGCAAACUGUGCCCACAUUACCAUAGCCCAAGGCACUGGUUUCUAGGUGGCGAGAAUUCCGUAUGCCUGGCCAGACUCCAUAAAGCUUGCUUCCCAAAAAUACCACCGUAUACGCUCUCCUGGAAAUCUGCAUUGAGACAUUGAUUUCAUUGGGCCAAACAGAGGCCCAAUCUCAAGGGACCUUCUAGUAAACUACAAGCCCCUCAGCAUUGAGCCCUGAGGCCUCAUGGUGAAUCACAUACUAGCUACUUGCCUGAGUGAUAGGAAAAUCUGAGAGGAAGCCCCCUGGCUGGUGUGGGGAGGGGAGGUGGAGCUGUUCCCCUGGGGAGGGGCUGCUGCCAGCCUGCAUGCUCCUCCAGCACCAGAUAGGGCUAUUCUAUCCCCAGACUACUCACUGCUGCUCACCUUCAUCUACAACGGGCGUGUGGUGGGCGAGGCCCAGGUGCAAAGCCUGGACUGCCGCCUUGUGGCUGAGCCCUCAGGCUCUGAGAGCAGCAUGGAGCAGGUGCUUUUCCCCAAGCCUGGCCCACUGGAGCCCACGCAGCGCCUGCUGAGCCAGCUUGAGAGGGGCAUCCUGGUGGCCAGCAACCCCCGAGGCCUCUUCGUGCAGCGCCUUUGCCCCAUCCCCAUCUCCUGGAAUGCACCCCAGGCUCCACCUGGGCCAGGCCCGCAUCUGCUGCCCAGCAACGAGUGCGUGGAGCUCUUCAGAACCGCCUACUUCCGCAGAGACUUGGCCAGGUACUUUCAGGGCCUGGGCCCCCCACCAAAGUUCCAGGUAACACUGAAUUUCUGGGAAGAGAGCCAUGGCUCCAGCCAUACUCCACAGAAUCUUAUCACAGUGAAGAUGGAGCAGGCCUUUGCCCGAUACUUGCUGGAGCAGACUCCAGAGCAGCAGGCAGCCAUUCUGUCCCUGGUGUAGAGCCUGGGGGACCCAUCUUCCACCUCACCUCUUUGUUCUUCCUGUCUCCUUUGAAAUA